RNAcentral lists this ribosomal RNA (992 nucleotides) under fungal endophyte. Its description in RNAcentral is "eukaryotic LSU rRNA". The stretch from base 456 to 992 matches the Rfam family "Eukaryotic large subunit ribosomal RNA", at positions 1 to 542 of the family's 3401-position model. The record is from RNAcentral. Lineage: Eukaryota; Fungi.
UUUAUUUACCUUGUUGCUUCGGCGAGCCUGCCUUUUGGCUGCCGGGGGACGUCAGNCCCCGGGUCCGUGCUCGCCGGAGACACCUUAGAACUCUGUCUGAAGAUUGUAGUCUGAGAUUAAAUAUAAAUUAUUUAAAACUUUCAACAACGGAUCUCUUGGUUCCGGCAUCGAUGAAGAACGCAGCGAAAUGCGAUACGUAAUGUGAAUUGCAGAAUUCAGUGAAUCAUCGAGUCUUUGAACGCACAUUGCGCCCUCUGGUAUUCCGGAGGGCAUGCCUGUCCGAGCGUCAUUGCUGCCCUCAAGCACGGCUUGUGUGUUGGGCCCCGUCCUCCUUCCGGGGGACGGGUCCGAAAGGCAGCGGCGGCACCGCGUCCGGUCCUCAAGCGUAUGGGGCUUUGUCACUCGCUUUGUAGGCCUGGCCGGCGCUUGCCGAUCAACCAAACUUUUUAUCAGGUUGACCUCGGAUCAGGUAGGGAUACCCGCUGAACUUAAGCAUAUCAAUAAGCGGAGGAAAAGAAACCAACAGGGAUUACCUCAGUAACGGCGAGUGAAGCGGUAAGAGCUCAAAUUUGAAAGCUGGCUCCUUCGGGGUCCGCAUUGUAAUUUGCAGAGGAUGCUUCGGGAGCGGUCCCCAUCUAAGUGCCCUGGAACGGGACGUCAUAGAGGGUGAGAAUCCCGUAUGGGAUGGGGUGUCCGCGCCCGUGUGAAGCUCCUUCGACGAGUCGAGUUGUUUGGGAAUGCAGCUCUAAAUGGGUGGUAAAUUUCAUCUAAAGCUAAAUAUUGGCCGGAGACCGAUAGCGCACAAGUAGAGUGAUCGAAAGAUGAAAAGCACUUUGAAAAGAGAGUUAAAAAGCACGUGAAAUUGUUGAAAGGGAAGCGCUUGCGACCAGACUCGCUCGCGGGGUUCAGCCGGCAUUCGUGCCGGUGUACUUCCCCGCGAGCGGGCCAACGUCGGUUUGGGCGGUCAGUCAAAGGCCCCUGGAAGGUAACGC